GAUGAACGCUAGCUACAGGCUUAACACAUGCAAGUCGAGGGGAAACGACAUCGAAAGCUUGCUUUUGGUGGGCGUCGACCGGCGCACGGGUGAGUAACGCGUAUCCAACCUGCCCACCACUUGGGGAUAACCUUGCGAAAGUAAGACUAAUACCCAAUGAUAUCCCACGAAGGCAUCCGAAUGGGAUUAAAGAUUUAUCGGUGAUGGAUGGGGAUGCGUCUGAUUAGCUUGUUGGCGGGGUAACGGCCCACCAAGGCAACGAUCAGUAGGGGUUCUGAGAGGAAGGUCCCCCACAUUGGAACUGAGACACGGUCCAAAACUCCUACGGGAGGCAGCAGUGAGGAAUAUUGGGCAAUGGGGGAAACCCUGACCCAGCAACGCCGCGUGAAGGAAGAAGGCUUUCGGGUUGUAAACUUCUUUUACCAGGGACGAAGAAAGUGACGGUACCUGGAGAAAAAGCCACGGGCUAAACUACGUG
This 478-nucleotide ribosomal RNA is filed under the name uncultured bacterium. RNAcentral describes it as "bacterial SSU rRNA". It matches the Rfam family "Bacterial small subunit ribosomal RNA", at positions 28 to 507 of the family's 1533-position model. The record is from RNAcentral.